AUUGAACGCUGGCGGCAUGCUUUACACAUGCAAGUCGGACGGCAGCGCGGGCUUCGGCCUGGCGGCGAGUGGCGAACGGGUGAGUAAUACAUCGGAACGUGCCCAGUAGUGGGGGAUAGCUCGGCGAAAGCCGGAUUAAUACCGCAUACGACCUGAGGGUGAAAGCGGGGGACUUUAGGGCCUCGCGCUAUUGGCGCGGCCGAUGGCAGAUUAGCUAGUUGGUGGGGUAAAGGCCUACCAAGGCGACGAUCUGUAGCUGGUCUGAGAGGACGACCAGCCACACUGGGACUGAGACACGGCCCAGACUCCUACGGGAGGCAGCAGUGGGGAAUUUUGGACAAUGGGCGCAAGCCUGAUCCAGCAAUGCCGCGUGUGUGAUGAAGGCCUUCGGGUUGUAAAGCACUUUUGGCAGGAACGAAAAGUGCCGUGCUAAUACCACGGUACGAUGACGGUACCUGCAGAAUAAGCACCGGCUAACUACGUG
This 484-nucleotide ribosomal RNA is filed under the name uncultured bacterium. RNAcentral describes it as "partial 16S ribosomal RNA". It matches the Rfam family "Bacterial small subunit ribosomal RNA", at positions 29 to 507 of the family's 1533-position model. The record is from RNAcentral.